RNAcentral lists this ribosomal RNA (496 nucleotides) under uncultured bacterium. RNAcentral describes it as "partial 16S ribosomal RNA". It matches the Rfam family "Bacterial small subunit ribosomal RNA", at positions 28 to 507 of the family's 1533-position model. The record is from RNAcentral.
GAUGAACGCUGGCGGCGUGCCUAAUACAUGCAAGUCGAGCGAACGGACGAUAAGCUUGAUUCUCUGAUGUUAGCGGCGGACGGGUGAGUAACACGUGGAUAACCUACCUAUAAGACUGGGAUAACUUCGGGAAACCGUAGCUAAUACCGGAUAAUAUUUUGAACCGAAUGGUUCAAAAGUGAAAGACGGUCUUGCUGUCACUUAUAGAUGGAACCGCGUUGCAUUAGCUAGUUGGUAAGGUAACGGAUUACCAAGGCAACGAGGCAUAGCCGACCUGAGAGGGUGAUGGGCAGCCGGGGAGAGAGGAUGCGGCCCCAGACCCGACGGGAGGCACCGGUAGGAAUCCUACGGAAUGGGCGAAAGCCUGACGGAGCAAAGCCGGCUGAAUGAUGAAGGUCUUCGGAUCGUAAAACUCUGUUAUUAGGGAAGAAGAUAAGUGUAAGUAACUGAGCACAUCUUGACGGUACCUAAUCAAAAAGCCACGGCUAACUACGUG